AUUGAACGCUGGCGGCAUGCCUUACACAUGCAAGUCGAACGGCAGCACGGGAGCAAUCCUGGUGGCGAGUGGCGAACGGGUGAGUAAAGUAUCGGAACGUGCCCAGUCGUGGGGGAUAACGUAGCGAAAGUUACGCUAAUACCGCAUACGAUCUAUGGAUGAAAGCGGGGGAACGCAAGACCUCGCGCGAUUGGAGCGGCCGAUAUCAGAUUAGGUAGUUGGUGGGGUAAAGGCCCACCAUGCCGACGAUCUGUAGCUGGUCUGAGAGGACGACCAGCCACACUGGGACUGAGACACGGCCCAGACUCCUACGGGAGGCAGCAGUGGGGAAUUUUGGACAAUGGGCGAAAGCCUGAUCCAGCCAUGCCGCGUGCAGGAUGAAGGCCUUCGGGUUGUAAACUGCUUUUGUACGGAACGAAAAGGACUGCCCUAAUACGGUGGUCCCAUGACGGUACCGUAAGAAUAAGCACCGGCUAACUACGUGCCAGCCGCCGCCGUAA
RNAcentral lists this ribosomal RNA (500 nucleotides) under uncultured bacterium. Its description in RNAcentral is "partial 16S ribosomal RNA". It matches the Rfam family "Bacterial small subunit ribosomal RNA", at positions 30 to 523 of the family's 1533-position model. The record is from RNAcentral.